Long non-coding RNA from Columba livia (rock pigeon), 14529 nucleotides. RefSeq lists it as uncharacterized. The transcript is spliced from 8 exons. NCBI's taxonomy places the organism in Eukaryota, Metazoa, Chordata, Aves, Columbiformes, Columbidae. The record is from RefSeq and is a predicted model, not a curated record.
UGAAGCGAGUGAUGGCUGGCAAGCAAGAGUCUAUCUGUCAGGCUGUUUUAAGGGUUUGAAUGCUUGUGCAUUUUUAUAUGGCAGAGCAAAACCAUAUAUAUACAUGUAUAUAUAUAUAUACAUAUAACCAUCUACAUAUAUACGGUUUAAGGGUUUUUUUUCUCCUCUGGCAUCCAUCUUUGAAGCUUUGCCCCACCUCCACUGGAGCUGGGCAGAGGAGGAGCCAGCCCAGCAUUACCUUGUGCCUUUAUUUCACACACAUGGAUGGGAAGAUGCUAAAUGGCAGGAGAAUUCAGUGUUCUUAUGUGUCCAGAUGGGUGCAUGUGGCAGUCCUGCUGCUUGGAGGGAGGAAUCGCAUUUUGCCAGGCUCCAAAGUGUUUGCUCGUUUCUGAGUACUCCAAGCCAGGGUAAGGUGGGAGGAACCCUUCUGGAAAUAAACAGGGUCGUAGUGCUAUUGUAAACCUCCCAUCGUUUUGAGAAGAACUUGGGACAACACUUACUGAAACACAGUGCUGCUACAAGCCUGCAAAGUUACAGUGCACCCACUGCUCUUCCCUGGUGGCCUGAAAAAAUCCCUUUAGACCUCUUUUUGAUAAAGUUGGAGGCCAGCUGUGAUGGUGUGACCUGGAAUCUUUCUGCAGAGGCGUAGGGUGUGCUCUGAUUGAAUCGGGUACUCGUAGAAACACUGAAGGCUGCUGAGACCACCCCUCUAUGAUGUUGAAGUGCAGCUCUGCAUUUAGGUAAACCACUUGUGGUUCUUGUUCUGCUGUCUGCCAGGCAUGCCUCCUCAUCCAAACACAUACAAAACUUGUGCUGUAUUUAAAAAUAAAUGUUCAUUAUGUGCUGGCACCCAUGCUCAUCCAGCUCUCAUUUUAAGGGUAAGAAGUACAUGAUUUUCUCCAAAAGGUAACAGAAGAUUAAUAGUUAAGAAAAUAGCUUUAAAAAGUACCUCCUUUUAAACACCUUUCCAGGUGCUUAUUUUACUGACUGUAUGUGCUCUCAGAUACUCAGGCAGGGACGGUACUUCUGCAUGUGCUGCUGAAAUCAGUCAGAUAAGCAAGUUUAAAGCACAGCAUGUAAGUUCUCCUCUGCACUGCAGGUAGAUGCUAAGCACAGUCCCUGGGGAGCCCUGAGUACAGCCAAGGGCAGCUGGGAAGGGAGAUUUUUAAUUGUUACCUGAGUUCCUUCACAAGUGGUAAUGGUAUGUAAGCCUGGAAAACUUCUGUUUAAUUCUUUGUUGCUGCUAGAGCUUCUUUAUUCUUGCACAGUGAGAAAAUUCACCCUGGCACCACAGAAGGCAAUGUGAAAAUGGCACAUUGCUGCCUUAAAUCCUCUUGUAAAUCAGAACCAUGCUUUGAAAUGUGAGGAGGCUUCUUCCUUGUGUGUCUUCAUCUCCUGCCCCCUUUCCCAGCUGUUCUGCAGUGAGUUUGACAUCUUCCUUCUCGCUGCAUCCAUUCCUACCGCAGGGCUGCUGGGUGAUGCCACCACUGAAUCCUUCUUUCUGAUUGAGGGCGAGUAUUUAGCUGAGUUUUGAUCAUAAUAUCCUAAAAGAGGAGCAACUAUGAAAACUGUAAAGUUAUUUAAAAAUGCAACUGAGCUCCUGGACAUAACAUCCCUGUGAACCUGAAGAGCAUAAGCCGCUUACUUGCUUUGCCAGAUUAGUGGGUUUUGUGCUCUAAAGCUCUGGAGUCCUGAGUGCUAAAUGUGCGAUAGCCAGCACCAGAGUGAGGAAACUCAGUCACAGUCACAGAGAUUAAUGUUCUGUCAGCUCCUGGGUUUGCUGUCCUUUGUAACCAUGACCCACAUGAGGCAACGGAAGCCUUGUAAUAAAGUUCAACUUCUUACCAACACCCCUCUGCGUCACCUGCUUUCCUGUGUCAGCUGCAUUUUUCAGCAGUGGCUUCUACUUACCCUGUCUUGGGACCUUGGUCUAAACUUCCAAAAUACCUUCUUGUGCCUGAACCUAGGGUUUGUAUCAGUUUAUUUUAUAGUUUUCAGGGAAAACAUCCUGGUUUGGGGAGGGAGAGGAGGCAUUCUGUACAGUUCUGUUGCACUGAGCAUCAAGCUAUGUGUUUAAUUCUCUAUAAAACAGUUAAAAAGAAAGCUAUAGUGAUUCUACUCCAGGUUAAAUGCUGUUUUAAAUGCAAGGAGAGAAUUACAGUUGUAGACAGCUUGCAGUUUCACUGUAUUUCAAGUACAAUUUCUCUCAUUUUAUAUCUUUUCUUAAAUAGUAUGCAGAUAUUUCUACACAUAAAUUUUGGGUCAUUAUUGUAUAUACUUCUGAGACAAGGAAGGAAGAGGUAAGACUGUGUUAUGAUGCAGAAGUACAUCUGCACCCUCAACAACAGAAGCAGAAGCUGAGGCCUGACAGAGGCUCAAUUCCUAAGCAAACUCAGCAGAUUUCUCCUGGGACUGGAACAGAGGGGCACAUAGUGAUGGGGAUGAGACAAGGGCUGCACACCAAACUGCACGUGUGCCACCAGUGGCUUUUCAUCCUUGCUGGCACUGGGUUUCUGAAUCUUGUUAAAAGAAAGAGCACUGCGCAUCAUGAGCAUGUAGGCUCCUAGGAAGAAAUAACCUCCCUCUCCAGGAGCUUUGCUGAGAUUUGAGCUGCAGGAGGUGGCUUUGGCUAAUUUAUGGGGAGAGGUAAAUGAAUGGGAAUAUUCUCCAACUUGUAAAGCCUUUGCCACAGGAAUCCCUGGCGGGUCUGAGGCUCUUUGGCAGCAUACAGAGAGUCUUCAAAUGGAUACACAGCAGAUGACUGUGCUUGUGCAUUCAAUGCAUCUUUCAAAAUCUCUGCUAUUAUGUGAUUUUAAACUGAUGCUUUUCAUACCCCAGUGUCUUGGUGUGGUGGGUCCUGCCUGUAUAAUGGAACAGGAUAGUUCUUGGGAAGACCAAAAUAAUGGCAAUAAAAAAGCUGUUUUGCUUGAAUACAGCAGAACACCUAUCUAGAAAGAUAAGCAAUUCUGUUGCAAUCAAUAGAGUUAUGUCUGUGUACCAGUAAUGUGUCAAGUGCAGGACUAUGGUCUUGUGUUGUAUAAUAAUUCUGUUUCAAGCUUUUACAACUGUGACUCUCCAUCUCCUCAGCAGCCACAGAGUAGCACAUUCCAAUGACUGUCACGGAGCUCUGCUGAUUUGAAGUGUUUGCAUGUUGUUUUGCUGAGGAAGAUGAGGACGAGCACUUGGGGGCACUGGGAGUCGGGUGUUGCUCCGCGAGGACGGCAGCUCUGUGAGCAGAGCUGUCCUCUGCCUGCUGGCCUGAGCAGCUUCCCUGGAAAGGUUUAUCAGUUUCCUGCUAACCAGGGAUCAAGGUAUGGGGAUGCAGUGGUGAUCACAGUUUGGAUGAGGCCUUGUCUCUCUUCACCUCUUUUUUCUUAAGUCACCACUCAGUCUGUUCACCAUUUCAAAGAAGGAGCAGAGACAGGCAUGAAACCCAUGGAAGUGCCUUUCUUUUUUUCUGUCUGCAAGUUGAUGACGAUAAUGAUGAUUAUUAUUAGUAGUAGUAUUAUAUAUUUUGUCACUUGCAUGAUAUAUAUCAGAAAUCUGAGCCAAGCAAAGUAAGGAUGAUAAAUACAUUACCACAAGCAAAAUAUAUGGAAUAUUUGCCUUUGUGUUCUUUUAGUUAGCUGUUUUGCACAAAGUAUUUCAACAGAGCAAUUCAUCCUCUUUGGUUACUCUGUAUAACUGUAUUAACAGAGGAUGAAGUAAUGAUUGUUAAUGAUGGGUAAAUGGGUAAAUUACUGUCAAAGCUGGUGAAUCCUAUGUGGUUUUGUUACGCAUUUAAAUUUAUCUGUUGCAUAUUCCUCCACAGGGGACCAAGAGAGAACUGGCCCUUCAGAUCCAAGUAACCAACCACUGUGUGUCUAUUAUCAGCAGAGGUUGUGCUCUACUUAAAAUCUAACUUAUUCCAAAUGUCACUUCCAGAUGAUCCGAAGGGAAGUGCUUACAGGUGCCUGACUUGAGGAGAACAGCAAGGGAAAGGGGAAAGGGCAUUACAUGCAUCCAUCUCAUCAGGAAGUUUUGUCACAUUGUCAAAACCCCAAAAUGUUUGAGCUGCCAAACACAGUUUCUCUUGCCCUCUAAAUCAGUUCAGUAUGCUGUGCAGAAAAGCGCUCUGAACAGCAGUGUCCUUGAAGGACCCAGUACAGCUUGAUUAUUUUUAAUUGAAAAUAAUGAACCAGAUGUUCUGCAUAUACUGGGAAACCCAAAACGCAUCCCUACUGUGGUGGAGCCAGACCUGCGAUGGAUGGAGUGGGAACAUAUGUUGCUGGGACACAUUUUUCCCCUGGAGCUGCCUGGGAUCUCCCUCCCCUCCCUGCGUGUUGUCCUGGGCAUCUGCACCCCAAACCGUUCCCGACCCCAUCCUGCCCUGCGUCACCGCUGACCCCAGUCCCGGUUCCAGGGUGACCCAGCCCUCCGCAGGGCAGAUCCUGCCUCCCUCCCUCUUUGUGCCUGACCUCGCGUACACUCAGAUGUGCUCCACAGUUGUAUUUUGUUUUAUAUACUUAUUUGGAGUCAGAAAAAGCACAAAUGGAAAAACAGCUGCUGUAACAAGUUACCUGACUUGUCCUUUUCCGUGUGGCUUGGCCGCAGCCCCGGCUUGCAGGAGCAGGGCUCAGCGUCCUCCAGCCUCCCCGUCUGGCAUCUGCUCGGCUUUCAGCUGGAGCAGGAUCCAGGCAUUUACAGUGAGGAACAGGGGCUUGUUGGAGAUGCUUGCAUGCAGUAAUGUGCUCAGUGGCUCUCAGUCUAAGAUUUGAAAAAUGCAAAACACCCUGGAAAAACUGCCAGUCUUUGGUACCUAACUCUUUGAUGAUCACGUAGCAAGUGGCUAAUAACUCUAAUAACUUGGGGUUGUUUAAAAGUAUGCUUGUUUCCUCUUCUACUGCUUAGUUAGGAGAAAAAUGAAAUCUGACUUGCCAGCCCUGUUUAGAAAAAUCUUUGUAUACUUCUUUUCUUGUCUGAAUGAUAGUGCUAUUUAUUUCACUCUUUUUACUCUGUUUCAGAUUAAAUAUCCUGGUAUUUAUUGAUUUACUAUUUGAGUCAUUAUAAGGCAAUAAAUUUUCAGGUUCUAGCAAGAAUUAAUCUGCCAAGAUGCAGUUUCACAGAUAAGCUUUCAGUGAGACUUGCUGAAUUAGCUUGCUGGAUCACACGUUGUAUACAAGCAUCGUUUGCACUGAGAUUUAUCUCAGGUGGCAGCAUCUCCUGUCUGCAAUACGAAAGUGGUGCACAGACUUGUGUCACCAAGAAAGGGUGACAGGAAAAGCUGACAAGUGGCCCUAACAUCUCUAAUGUUAAUGUCUGACAAGAAGCCAGGCGCUGGCUGGGGCACUCAUGGUGUGGAGAGGGGAGCGGCUGCCCCAGCGUGAGCACGUUCCCAGCACCUGCAGCACUGGGCGAUGGUCAUGGAGGGUUCUGGAGCACGGAGGUUAUGUUAGAGCUAAAACACAUGUGAGAAUUUUAAGGCCCAAAUAGCAACAUGAAUAAUUUUGGUACAUAACUGUUAUGUUCAAAUGCAUGUAUAAUAAUUUAUACUAUAAAAACACAUUAUAAAUUUCCAUGUACAUCUGUGGUGUAUACAGCUUUAACACCUUUGCUCUAGUCUUCUGUGUGAAAAUGCACAAGCUACUCUGUGAACUUCAGCUGAUCUGUGGUCCUUCCUCUAGACAUCAAGUAUAUUGUUUAAUUUUUUUGGACAGUACACACAUCACUGAUGGGCACUUCAUAAAUAUAGCUAAAUCCAUCCUGGCAGGCUUCAUCUUUAAUUUUAUGAUGUGGUUUUUCUGUCUCAGAUGACUACAUUUUUUCCUAACUGUUUUAACAAAAGCAUCCAGCAUGAUUCAGGUUUCUUCUCUUAGCAAUUGUACUUGUUGUGCAUUCAAAUUAACCAACUCUGCCAUCUGGAGAGCUGUACAGUGCUCUUGAAGCAGCAGGUGAGAUGCUUUAAUCUGAGAUUCCCAUUAGAAGGCUGGUGCAAUCACUCCGUCUGACUUCUUAACACAUAUAUGUGGAUUUUUGCUCCUCCCUGUGAUCAGGAGUGACUCACUGACUGCAACUUCCCUGAAUGGCUCUGGAGAAGCUGCCUGCUUGUCUGUGGUACUUGCUCUGCUUCUGUCUCUCUCCUAGGGUGAUUGAUGGGCUGGUACCCGCCCAGCUCCUCCUAAGCCUGGCUCUACCUGAGCCUGGCUCUAAGGGCUGGCAAAGGCGUGGAGCAGUUGUGCCCUCCCCACAGGAUUGUCCCACAUGGCCUCAGCACUCAAGAGCUGGCAGAAGCAACUUGCUGAAGAGGUGUUACAGUUUUGAUCAGUCUCUUGGUGCUCAUAGAGCCAAAGGUUUUACUGUUUUUUUUGGUCUGUGCGGUUUUUGUUUUGUUUUCCUGUGUUUCACUUUCCUCCCUUUGCACGCUCUCUUUUAAGAAGCUUGGAAAGCGUAAACAUUCAGAAACAGCUGAAGCUGCUGGGUGAGAAGAAAACCUUAUCAGUGAUCAAUUUGAGUGGGAAUAACAGAGAGUUGUUGGUGGGAGGUCAAGGCUACAGUGCGUCAUGUCUAACUAGCCUGUUUACCUUCUGCAGUUAUUUCAGAAUGUUUCUUCACUUUUUUUUUACGUGGAAAAUCUGGGGGUGGUUCUUUCCUUUCUGCUUGUAAUCUCUGGGUUUAGUUAAACCCACAAAAAUGCUGAAAGAAAUUGCUUAAUCCCACUGAAGUCUGUCAUCAUCUUUCAACUUGAUAUAAAUUUUUGUUUGAUUUUGGAUGAAACUGCCAUUUAAAGUAUUUUUUAGGCCAUGACAGAAGAUGGUAUGUGUCUAUCUGAUGGAAAAGUUUUUAAUAAGUACAACUAACAUAUUGCAAAACGAGUGUCCUGCGCAUUCAGUUUUUAGGGGUAUGUCAAGGAAAUGUCCUAGAGGGUUGGGCUGAGCAGGCUCUGUCUGCUGCACUCAAGCUAGUACAGGUUUCACUACACAUGACUACUAAGAUUACAUAUCUGUGAGGGUUUUGCUUUCUGCUGUACUAGCCUUUUAUAUAUCAAAGAUCUCACUUUUAGUGCAAAGCUCAACUUCCCAGCUUUAUGGCACUGCUGCAGCCUGCUCCAAAGGAGAUACUUACUAUGGUCUCCCUUGUCAAUUCUUUUAAAAUCACCUUUCUUUGAAAAUAUAUGUUGUGUUCUGGUGGUUACAGGUUUGGCCAUUACCUGUUCAUGUACUUGGCAGGACAAGAGGUGAAGCAGAAUAAAAUAGAUUUAUAGAUGUAUAUAAGCCCUGGCUUUCCAGAAGAGUUAUUGGUAAGAACUGCAUUUUUUUAGCCAAAAUGUCCAUGACUCAGCAUCCAUCAUGGAUCUCUGGAAGCCAUUGUCAUACCUGUCAAACUUUUUAGUUUCUUCCACCCUGCAAAUCUCCUGAACUGCUGUUGUACAAACAGCCUUUUAAUUAGAACUUUCUUACAAGUCUGCUAAUUAUUAAAAGGGCCAUCUGUACUAUCUGAAUAAGCACAGAUCUCCUUCCCUUUUCCUUCCAAAAGACCUGCUUGUAACUGUGGCAGAUAUUUGUGUUCAAGCCAUCACCUAAUCUAGAAAAAUGAGAUCUUUUUUACAUAGCACUUACGUCCUUGUGACUGUAUUUCAGACUCAUAGCUGACACUGAGCGGAACUUGCUGUUGAACUCUCUAUCUAGCAGCCUGAAAACAUCUGGUUUCUUGUGACUGAACUGAAUAAGGAGCAAAUUCAGUAUUUUUUGUUCUUAACAAGCUUUAGCACAAAUUCUGAGAAACCUCUAUAUCUUUCAUGUUCUGAAUGUGGUCAUGAACAUUCCUUGGGUAUAGCAGAAUACCCAUCUACAUCUAUAACAGGUUUCCCGUGCUUUUUGUCAGUUGAAGCUCUAAUGAUAAGAAGGCAACAUGGUGUAGUGUACCAGGCUGGGAAGGCACGUCUUGAAUGGAAAGCUUGUGUCUGUUGGUGGCAGAUGCUGUACAGAAGAUUAGUUAAGUUGAGCUGCUUCAGAAGUUACCCUCGCUAUUUCUUGAGAGGAAGUGUUUCUUUUUUAAAAAAAUAAAAAAAAUAAAAUCCAACACUUGAUUUGAGGAAACAGGGGAAUUCAAUUCUCCAUCAAGGAAGUCAGUAGGAGACAUUUCCUGUGGGAAAUGUUGAUGAAAUGUUGAUACUUGUCAACUUUUACAACGAUGGUUCUGUGCCAGCAUUCUGAUGAAGUCACAGUGCUUUAAUGCUGUCCCGUGACUGCAGCUCGCUGUGGGUAGGUGCUCUGUCAGCUUGUCACACACAUGCAGUAAGGAGCAUGUGGCCUCUGAACCCAGUUUCACAUCUAAGCAGGUUCAUGUGGUUGGUUCCCAACAAUAAAUAUUUGAGCCAAGAAUGCUUGGAACUCCCACGCUUCAUGGGAGGCUGCAAAAAAUGUGGUAUUUUGUGUUCUGGUUUAGGACAAAGCUGAAUGGAGUUUCAAAUGGGAGAAAAUGGCGAUACUUGAAUGGUCACCCCUGCCCCACCUAAAGUCUGAAACUCUGAUGUGCGACUCGGGUGGCUGCACAAUUCUUCACCAGCCCUGGCUGCUAGGGCCAUCACAGGCUGCUGCUGGGAAUCCCCAGCAAAGGUUCUGAGCUGACGGUAAGCAAGACAGAUGUUGCAGUGUGGAGAGAACCACUUUUUUAUGAGCUGGGAACAGUCUCGACCUGCUAUCCUAAACAGAGAGGACCUGUGUUUUUCCUGCAUGGUUAAUGAAAAGCAAAAUCUGCACGGCAUCCCGGGGGGCGCUGGGGAGGAGCUGAGCUGCAGUGGUGGUCGGAAGAAGGAAACCCAAGUUUCCCAGCCUACUAUGAAAAUGGAGCUAACAGCAGGGAAAGGCAAGAGAUUCCACACAAAUAUGAGACUUACUAGAGACUUGAAUGCUCAGCUGUGUGCGUUAUUUCCUUUGGAUUGGAAGCAGAUUGAAAACUGGAGAAGUGGACAUUCACAUGGUCCAAGAAAUUAAAGAUACAGAUCUACAUUUUUUGGAGACCUUUGAAGAUGUAAAUUGAACAGGAUAAUUUUUAAAGCUCUUCUAAUCAGCAUCACAGCCCUGGUUCGUGCCAUAUGGAGGAGCAGAGGAACAAACUGGAGCUGUGAGACUGAGAUGGGAUGAGUGAUGCACCAAAUGGCCUCAGAGCAGGUCACACUAGUAGAGAUAAGUGCAAAUGAGGAGAUUUAAUGGGCACUGUAAUGUAGAUGGUUAUGACCAUCACAACAGAGCAUGACAGUACCAUCAGGGUGCCUGGAAAAAACUAGAUUUUCUCAUUUAACCAACUGUAUCAUUUUACAGUCAUGUUUUGGAGAUUAACAAUGAACAGAAGAGGCUACUGAUGCAAGUUCUUGAGAGAUGGGGAGUUCACCCUGUGAAAGCUCCAGCUGAAAACAGCAGGGCAGUGUUCAGGCUGUGCAAGCAGGGCCAGCAAUGGGCUUUGAGCAGAGGCAGUUUUAUGAAUGGAUCUGUGGGGGAAACAGUCAGGGUAGAAACGGAGCCAGUCGCCUGCUAAGGUGGUGACUGGAGGCAGGGCUGUGCCAGGAGGUGCCUUUGCAGAACAUCAGCCAUGUAAUGCCUGGCACAGGUAAUGCCUUGGGAACAGUCUCCAAACAUUUCUUAGUGAGCAGUUGGAAUAAAAGCUAAUGUCCCUUCCUGGACAAAGCUUUGCUGGUCCUUUGGAUGGCUGUUGGCCUGAGUGGUGUACAUUGUCCCGGGUGUAGAGCGCUGUGCCCAUGAGGAGGUGGCUUCACACCAGGCUUAAAGCACUCCCCGCUGCGUGAAACACUGUAUGGAUUUGCUUAUUCUAGCAGAGCGUGUGCUGUGACAGGAGGGGUGGGCUGGCUCUGCUUACUCCCCACCCCUGCCAGGGUCACUCUGAAGCAUUUUAUGGUGGAGUAGCCUUUGGGCAGAUGAGAGAGGGGUCUGACCUGCUGAGCAGCCAUGUCAUUGCCAGAUCCUCAGCACGGGGUGUUUGGGAGCUCACAGUGGCAAUAGGAGCAGGACCUCCUGCUCACCUGAAUGUCAGUUCUCUCACUUCCCAUGAUUCAGAGCAGGGCUUAUUCCAGGAUCAGUCCCUGGGCACAGGUAUGGCUCACAAGGUGCUGGGAGCAGGACAGAGCAGAAUUCAGCUCCCUAGGGUCUCCACUGGUGUGCACAAAGAGCAGACAAGGGGAAAGGGCUGUGGCACCAGACACAAAACAAAAGCAGAGAUGAAAAGAAAGUUCUUGGUUUAAAGAAGGCUGUUCAGACUUUAUCUCCACCUUCCUGUGCAUUCAAAGCUGAGCUGUGUUCCCUGCAUAGUCCUAAAAGCUCUUCAAGCCCUGUCUGAGCACAGAAAGAGCCCUGAGUCUGCCACUCUUUUCCGUUUCUCAGUCCUGUUGUUGUGGUUUGAUUUUGGUUUGGUUUUCUCCUUUUUUUAUUUUUUUUCUUUUUGUUGGGAAGAUUAAUCAGAGUGCAAACUGAUGGGCUGAGAAGGGCAGAGCUCUUCCCCUCGUCCCACCUACACCUGCAGUGGAGGUCGAUGCCUCCAACCUGUGUCAUGGCAGGGCUGGCUGCGAAGCUCCCGUUGGGUGACAGCUCUCCUUGGGGCAGCUGCACUUUCACAGCUCUGUAGGUAUCCAAACACUGAUGGGGAUUUCUAAAAAUGGUUUUGACGAUGUAUUUUUACCAUUGCAAGUGCUGUCAACCUUCACUGGGGCCUCUGGGCUGGGCUGCAAAGGAAGCACUAAAAUAGAAAAUAUUUAUGUAAAGAAGUAAAACAUUGUUCCUUCUCUUUUCCGGUAAGUGUAAAUUAAUGGCAGUUCAGCACUGUGCUGAAAUAAGUGGGGUGAGAUUGUGGGAGAGUUAUAUUUAGGCAAAAAUAUGCAACACUUUGUUGCCUUCUCAUUUGCUUUUUAAUCUGAACAAGGCUUCAGCAGGCUCCAAAGAGCACGUGCCCACCACCCUCACUGCCCUGAUCUGCAGCGGGCCGGGAAGAUCCAGUACAUCCUUAGGCAGGUUUUUAAGCAAAUACAAGGAGCCAAAUGUCACCUCCUGUGUCUGUGACUGUAGCCUGGACAAAGGGCUCCAUGGCCUCCAGCAGUGGCCAGCUAGCAAAGGAUAUUUGGGAAGAUCUAGCUCUGCUCCUUUCCCACAGCAGUUAGUAAGUGCUGAUAACCUCACCAGCUUCUGUGGUGAGGAUGUGCGCACAGAGAAACAGCAAUCAUGCUGUAACAGAAGGUGGUCAAGCUUUGGGUUUUUUCUUCCCCAAAUUCAUGCUUGUUUUUGAAAGGGAAGAGAGGGCUGAUCUGUGUUUGAGGGUUUUUCAGAAUCCUCUGCAGUGGCCUAAUCCUGCUGCCACUAAGCUGAGCUGGGGAAGAGUCUGACCGCUGCUGAGGACUUCUGACAGUGGAGUCCAAAACACCCAAGCAAUGCCCCUGCAUGGGCAGGGGCUGGAGACCCCAGCAAUGCUGCUGGUGGCACUUCCAGAGCUGGAAGAAUCAGAGACAGCGCUGGUUCUCUAUGUUACUUUGCAGCAUUAUAUAGAUUUACCUUGGGAAUUUUUUUGCAGUUUACUAUCAAGGAGAUGGAAUAACAUUCCUCAGCUUCAUUGUUGCAUCAGAGUUUAAGCACUGUCCUUAACCAGACACAGAGAGCUGUGUCCUGGGGCUGUGACUGCACCCGGGACCUUCCCACACCACAGCACAGAAUAAUAAUAACCCAACACUGACAAGCUCUAUGUGUUCAGUCAGGAUCAGACCUGCCAUCCUCCAUCCCGAUGCAAUUACUGCAAGUCUGCUAGUGCUGUUUCCAAGCGUAUGUUAAGGCUUGCUAUCAAUUCGAGCAAGUCUUACAUUUGAUUCAAAUUUUCUUCUGAAAUAUUCAACAAAGCCAAAGAAAGACAAAGCCAGAACAGUGAAGCAGAGAUUAAUGCACUUAAACUGGGAAAAAAAUAUAUGCAGGACUCUCUUUAAUUUGCAGUUUAUCUGCAAUUUAAAAGAGUAAACACAGCCAUAGUGAGGAUGCAUAAACACAGUUUGGAGAGCCAUUGAAAUCUAGGUCAAGGUUUCAGCUCUGCCUGGGGAGCUCAUUAUGGGAACCAGGGAGACUGUGCUGCUCCAGGAGCCAGGUGGAAAAUACUUCUCAACUGGUACAAUGAAACCAGGUAGGCUUCUGCACAAUCAACAGCAGCUCCACUGCAGACGUAAGCCAUUGCUGAGCUGAAAUUGCUAAAUUAUUACUCACACCAUUCAGUAACAGGAAAGGAAAUCUUGCUUUUAUUGUUCAGUGGCUUCAGUUUUUACUUGUGUGCCAAGCAGGACCUGAAGCAUUUGCCAGCAGUAACCAACUCACCUUCCAGGUGCUUGGAGGAAAGUAUGGAGCUGUCAAUCUGAUAGUCAUUAACAAAACACACUUUUUUAGGGGGAGGAAAAAAAAACAAAACCACAGCAUUAACUCAUGUUCAUUUGAUUUGCAACCUGAGUAUAUGAAUUUUGCAGAACAUGACUCUGUUCUGAAUUUGAGAUUCAGUCUGUGUUUGUAUUUCAAGCUAGUCUUCCAAGCAAAACAUGUGAAAAGAGAACAUUCAAACAGGAAGGGUUUGAUAUCUUUUUUUUCCCCCCUCAUAAAUUUCUGUAGGUCUUGUUGCUGCUAAUUGCUGGAGACCCAGCACAAGAGCUUUUCUUUCUAGCAAAUCAGAUUCUCAUGUUUCCUGCCCUUCAGUUAAUCAGUUAUAAUCUCCUGUUCUGUUUAUUUAACUUUUAAAAAGCUAAUUGAGUGUUUGUGACAUAAGUCGGCCUGAGACUGCGAAAGCAAAGUUUGUUUGCCUGUACCGGUGGAGCAGAUGGAGGUUGGGCGCUGGUGAUGCCCAUUGCCUGCUGCAUCCCUAGAUGUUCCUCUCCUGAUGCUCAGCCACCACCACCAUGCACAGCCAGUGGGUUCAGCCCCGCUUGCUCCCUGUGUGUUGGCUCCAUCCCCUCAGGCACCUCCAGGAGGAGGUUGUCCCCAGGAGCAGGUUGUCCCCAAGGAGGAGGCUGUCCCCAAGAGGCAGCUGGUCUGGCCGGCAGCCCAGUGCCCGCACAGGCAGGGCAGGGGGCUCCUGGUGACUCGCAGCUGUGCCCAACCGAAGCAAUCACAACUGGCGAGGCUGGAUUGGGACCAAGCAAGGCACGGACGUGUGCGGGAGCCACUGCAAGGCUGGUGCUCUGAUUCUUCUGGAGGGGCUGAAAAAGCAGAUUAGACACUAAAAAAUUGAGGAACUUUAUUGCAACCUCAUCUCUGUUUCUUCUCUGUUAACUGAAGGAACACACUUGUGGCAAGAGUGGUGGUCUUGUGUCCUCUCUUGCUCCACUGUACCCAUAUCCCCUCCAUGGCUCAGACAUGCUCUUUCCUUCUCACUGUGAAUACACAGUGCAGAACAGUGGCUGUGCACCCACAGCUCCUCACUGCCUUGUUCUGUGGAGUCAGAUUUCAGAGGGUGAAAACCAGCAGGUAGGGGUGUCAGAGCUUCUCUGCAGUUCUGUUCCAUCCCUACCUAGAACCCUUGUCUGCGCCUUGAGCACCACGGUGCUCCGCAGUGGCUACUGCUUCCACUUUGCAGCAUCUCUGGUGAGGCUGGGCCUUGUGCUUGCCAGUCAGGUCAGGGUGUUACUAAGGGUCUGUUAGACCUUGUGAGCAAGAUUAGGAGAUGGCUUUUCUCAAAUUUUUUAUUUAAUUGAUAGCAAGUGAGAUUUUUUUUGACCAUGUGUUUUUUUUCAUUGACUAUGCAAGAAUAACUGAUUUUUUUUGUUCUUUUCUCCUUUUAAAAAGGGUCCCCAGAUCACAUCAGACUUUGUCCCCCUAAUAGCUUUCUGUGGCAUCACAUGGCUACAGGCUCAAAGGCUGUGGCCAGUGGAGAAAUCCUCCUGCCUAAGGGGAGGUUCUGAAAGGAUGGGUCUGUUACAAAGUGUCUUAGUCAUGUUCAUGCAUGUGUAUUAUUGCUACAGAGGAGUUUUCUUCUUUUCUGGCAACUAUGUGCUCCUGGGAUUGUACUUUGGCAUCAGAGGAACAAGCUGUAACACAAAGACUCUUCAGAAGGUCCCACUUGAAUUCCUGGUAUGACAAAACUACCAUUUAACCUCAAGCCAUCAAGUACGAGGUACUUUCUGUUUCUGAAGUGAUUUGAGACAUUACACACAGCUCUAUAAAAAUGCAAAAUGGGGCUGCUGUAUUACAUCCCAUAGUUCAGGAGGUUUGAAGGAAUUGGUUCACCGUUUAUCACCGAAAAAGCUCUUCCUUAAAGCCAUGGCUGCUCCAUCUUCCUCUGCUGCAGGCUCUUUAUUUUUGUGCGUAUGACAUUGCAGUUUAUUUCCGUGGCAACAACUAUAAUGUGACAAUUUGCAUCCAUAAUGACUUCACUGUUAUUAGAAAACAUAAAUCUGUGAUGAUAAUUUUGAAAAAAAAGGAUUUGUACCUAGUUGAAAUAGCAAGCUACCAAAAAAAAAAAAAAAAAAAAAGUGAAUUUUUUUAAUAUUAAAUCAUGAGAUAUUGAGCUGAGCAUAUGAUUUUACAC